UCUGUAUAUAGGGUGUAUAACUUAUUCUCGUCUAGCGCAUAUUCGUACAAGAGUGGUCACAACAACUCCUUCCCCCUUGAGUUAGAUCGUAUUAUUCAGAACGGUUUAUUUAUCUAUUCGUCUUAUAAACCUAAACCAACCCUAUAAUAAAUCGAAAGAUAUUUUCAAAAUCGAUCUCUGAAUUACCUGUAAAAUAUCAAGAAACUAUUUUUCUUUUUGUUUUGAUAACGAGUAUUUUUGUCAAUACAAUUCUAUUUUACGUAUUAAAAUUGCUAAACACACUCUUCCUCAAAAAUAAGCACUGUGAAACUUUUUUUAUUUAAACAAGAUUAAUCAAGACAAUAAAAUAAAAUAUUGUGUAAAAAAACGUAUCAUUCACUUGAAAAUCUAUACACCAAAACAGUGAAUUAACUAUAUAGGUGCAUUUAAAUAUUCCAAAUUGCCACUCUACCCUAAUGAGUAAAAAUACAGUCAACAACGUGGACACAAUCACAAAAAAAAAAAACACAAAGUUAACCAUGAAUACACAAAUAAAAUAAACUUCCAUAGCAUCACUGUUCUCUAUCAUUAAACACACGAUAUGUCUUCUAAUAACAAGGAAUCUGGCCAAGACGAUCGAUGCAAUCCAUGUUCGACCGGUGCCAGAGAUCCAAAGACAUAGAAGUAUUCAUAGCUUCCCUGAACCAUACGCUGAUUAGCUCGCUGCUCACUGCGGUGAUGAUAGUACUGCCAUUGACGAAUACAUAGACGGAGUGGUGGCCAUUUUUUCGGGCACCACUAUAUACCCCUGGGGAGUGACGGAUUACAAUUAUUACAAUCACUCGACCAUUGAGAAGCCCCUCAAUUCAAAUCACGUCAGUUUGACAACAGUUGUCAUUUCCAUUUUUGUUUACCUCCUGUUUCUGAUUCAAAAAUCAAUGAAUCGAGACGAGUUUGUUUAUGUUUGUUUGGAAGCAAUUGGAUUAACGGAGGAGGAGGAUGCCUGCGAUUGUGUCGUUAGACGUUGAUGGGACCUACACGGACGACGCGCCGGAGGGGUAAGAGCAGCAGCUGCUGAAGGAUGAGCAAGAGUACUAUAAUGUUGAACCGCUGGAGUCAGAUGUUUGUUUAAUCUGCUUGAGUUGUCGGACCUCAAGGACCACAUUGUGGACGCACGACGGAUUGAAGAGCAGAUCAAAGAUAUGGCAUGUGAAUAUUGUAACAGAAUAUUUUCGGAUAUUAAGACCCUGGGCCUGGACCGACACAUCGGUAAAAUACACUUCACAGGAUCACCUCAAUGGACACACUGGGGAUCGUGUUUACCAAUGCGGUGAAUGCAAAGAUCAGCGUAUGCCUUCCGGAUGGGAAGGCAUGUGAAGCUGAACGGCGUAUACGUGUGCCCCGGGCUGUCGAGCGGCACAAGUACCGGCACAGCCGAGUACUGCACCAGUAGCAGCAACAGCACCAGCUAGAUCUAAUAAUGGGACACAGCGGAAGAAGAAAUUCCGUCAACGCCGGUAAGACAUCUUAUUUUUUCAAGGAAAAUGAGCGAAACAAAUUUCUCAAUGUUUUUGAAAGCUUCUCCAAAAACCGAAACGUGGAUCAGUCGCUUUCGUCUGUACCACGAAACAGGAAGAAAUUUUAAUAUUAAUUUACGGUCAACAGGUCAACAGCUUCGUCUUGAUGGACGAUCGCAUAGUUGAUGUAAUUUCCUUGGAAAAACUUAUUCAUCUCGGACAGUCAAAUGCCUAAGCAAGCUGAUUUGUUUAUGCUGGAUCUCUGACACUGAGCUGGCGGGUGGAUUGGACGACGGUCAUCUGAUGAUGUUCAACGUGGACGACGGUGACGAAGAGACUAUGAAUCACGAGUUAAAGCAAAAUUUGCACAAUAAACAUCCGGUGCCUGCCGACUUGCAUGUUGAUUACGGAGGCGGAUGAAUUGGGUUUGCACAAGUACCCUCAGCAGUCAGAGCACAAUUGUUAUUAAUAAAGGUGGAGUUUGGAAGCAUUUGAUCGGUAUGGUCACAGUGGAAACGGAAGACCCCAUUCGAGAAGCAAGCAAACAACCGCGCCCUGAAAAAUAGAAGAAAAACAAGCGAUACGUUCUGGUGAACAAAACCAAUAACAAUAUGAGCACUCCCUUGCCAAAUAAACAGAAGGAUGAUUCACAAUUAAAGCCAGAGGGAAUCAAAACGCCAUUAACUCAGAAAAUAAGAAAAUGGUCAAGGAAGGAAUUGUGGCCGUACGUGAAAACAGCUGGACAGGCGGUCUCCAGGCGCGCACGUUCCUUAUCCACAUGAGUUGCGCGUGGCCCAUUUCCUCCGGAACUUGAACUUUCUUGUGCCUCAACACGGAACCAAAACCAAAGUCACUACCGAAAAGUUGUUGCACUCAGGAUGUUGCACUCACUCAUAACCUGCCAAUCCAGCUAGUUGACGUAGAUGUGGAUCAGUAAUCCCAGUUGAGUAACCGCGAAUCGAAUCCGAAAUCUGCUGCGUGAUCUGGUCAAGCUUCUCAAGAUCAUCGGGUCCGAUCCAAGAUACUACCAACAAGGACGACUAUCACCGUAAUUCAAGCCCAAUCAGGAUUCGCAGCACUCGAGAACACGGUUGGAGAUCAAGAGAUGCGAUUAAUGCUAUGGAGCAGCUACAUUAACGUCCGCUGGCAAUGCUGUCUUUAGGGCAAACGCCAGCGUUGAGGCCUCGUCAUCACCAGCAAUUAUUG
Armigeres subalbatus is the source of this 2702-nucleotide long non-coding RNA. RefSeq lists it as uncharacterized. The transcript is spliced from 3 exons. NCBI's taxonomy places the organism in Eukaryota, Metazoa, Arthropoda, Insecta, Diptera, Culicidae. The record is from RefSeq and is a predicted model, not a curated record.